UGGCUCAAAUCUCCAGUCAGACCCUGAUGUGGGUCUGACGGGAGAUUUGAGCCAUC
RNAcentral lists this microRNA precursor (56 nucleotides) under Caenorhabditis elegans. Its description in RNAcentral is "microRNA cel-mir-8200 precursor". Lineage: Eukaryota; Metazoa; Nematoda; Chromadorea; Rhabditida; Rhabditidae. The record is from miRBase by way of RNAcentral.